RNAcentral lists this ribosomal RNA (387 nucleotides) under uncultured bacterium. RNAcentral describes it as "bacterial SSU rRNA". It matches the Rfam family "Bacterial small subunit ribosomal RNA", at positions 356 to 755 of the family's 1533-position model. The record is from RNAcentral.
UGGGAAUAUUGCGCAAUGGGCGAAAGCCUGACGCAGCAACACCGCGUGAGGGAUGACGGCCUUCGGGUUGUAAACCUCUUUCAGCUCCGACGAAGCGAAAGUGACGGUAGGAGCAGAAGAAGCACCGGCUAACUACGUGCCAGCAGCCGCGGUAAUACGUAGGGUGCAAGCGUUGUCCGGAAUUAUUGGGCGUAAAGAGCUCGUAGGCGGUCCGUUGCGUCUGCCGUGAAAACCCGGAGCUCAACUCCGGGCCUGCGGUGGAUACGGGCGGACUAGAGUCCGGUAGGGGAGACUGGAAUUCCUGGUGUAGCGGUGGAAUGCGCAGAUAUCAGGAGGAACACCGGUGGCGAAGGCGGGUCUCUGGGCCGGAACUGACGCUGAGGAGCG